GGAUGAUGUGGAUAAUCGAUGCAACGCGAAAACCUUACUACCCUUGACAUGUCCGGAAUCCCGAAGAGAUUUGGGAGUGCUCGCAAGAGAGCCGGAACACAGGUGCUGCAUGGCUGUCGUCAGCUCGUGUCGUGAGAUGUUGGGUUAAGUCCCGCAACGAGCGCAACCCUUGUCAUUAGUUGCCAUCAUUUGGUUGGGCACUCUAAUGAGACUGCCGGUGACAAACCGGAGGAAGGUGGGGAUGACGUCAAGUCCUCAUGGCCCUUAUGGGUAGGGCUUCACACGUCAUACAAUGGUCGGUACAGAGGGUUGCCAACCCGCGAGGGGGAGCUAAUCCCACAAAGCCGAUCGUAGUCCGGAUCGCAGUCUGCAACUCGACUGCGUGAAGUCGGAAUCGCUAGUAAUCGUGGAUCAGCAUGUCACGGUGAAUACGUUCCCGGGUCUU
Molecule: ribosomal RNA, 445 nt
Filed under: uncultured Rhodocyclaceae bacterium
Lineage: Bacteria; Pseudomonadati; Pseudomonadota; Betaproteobacteria; Rhodocyclales; Rhodocyclaceae
Description: bacterial SSU rRNA
Rfam family: Bacterial small subunit ribosomal RNA
Source: RNAcentral